UACAGAGAUGGCAACCGUUGUUCGGAAUCACUGGGCUUAAAGCGCACGUAGGCGGGACAGUAAGUUGGUUGUGAAAUCUCACGGCUUACCCGUGAAAGGUCAACCAAAACUGCUGUUCUUGAGAUCGGUAGGGGAGAGUGGAAUUCCUGGUGGAGCGGUGAAAUGCGUUGAUAUCAGGAGGAACGUCGGAGGCGUAGGCGACUCUCUGGGCUGUAUCUGACGCUGAGGUGCGAAAGCUAGGGGAGCGAACGGG
This 253-nucleotide ribosomal RNA is filed under the name uncultured bacterium. RNAcentral describes it as "partial 16S ribosomal RNA". It matches the Rfam family "Bacterial small subunit ribosomal RNA", at positions 524 to 776 of the family's 1533-position model. The record is from RNAcentral.